RNAcentral lists this unclassified non-coding RNA (357 nucleotides) under soil metagenome. Its description in RNAcentral is "partial contains 5.8S ribosomal RNA, internal transcribed spacer 2, and large subunit ribosomal RNA". The stretch from base 1 to 120 matches the Rfam family "5.8S ribosomal RNA", at positions 35 to 154 of the family's 154-position model. The record is from RNAcentral.
GAUGAAGAACGCAGCGAAAUGCGAUAAGUAAUGUGAAUUGCAGAAUUCAGUGAAUCAUCGAAUCUUUGAACGCACAUUGCGCCCGCUGGUAUUCCGGCGGGCAUGCCUGUUCGAGCGUCAUUUCAACCCUCAAGCUCUCCGGAGUUUGGUGUUGGGGCGCCUGGGGCUUUUCGACCUCAGGGCCCUCAAGUCCAUCGGCGGGACCGCCAGGACACUGAGCGCAGUAGUAUUAUUUCGCUCGGUAGGAUCUUCCACGGCGGGUCGAUCUGGCCGCUAAACCCCCCACUUCUCACCAAAGGUUGACCUCGGAUCAGGUAGGAAUACCCGCUGAACUUAAGCAUAUCAAUAAGCGGAGGA